Mytilus californianus (California mussel) is the source of this 390-nucleotide long non-coding RNA. RefSeq lists it as uncharacterized. The record is from RefSeq and is a predicted model, not a curated record. NCBI's taxonomy places the organism in Eukaryota, Metazoa, Mollusca, Bivalvia, Mytilida, Mytilidae. The transcript is spliced from 3 exons.
UAUGGUAUUAGCUAAGCUAAAGGAUGGGGGAGACCUGCCCAGCAUAACAAGACUGGUCAUGAGGUCCAUAUUGACCAAUGGAAUAAUGUCAAAGUAUAGUUUGACCGGUCAAAGAGGGAAGACUCCCUUUAAAGGAACGAGAACCUGUAAAGUCAUCUUGAGGGCCUUGAAAAGAGCAACAAAAAACCGUUUUCCUGUAAAGGAUUAUGAGUUUGAAAUAGCAGAAGUUUUAAGGAAUGCUCCAAACUGUCCAGGAGGCGUAAACUUUUUGAAGAAAAACGCAAACAAGAAGAGAAGAAGUACUGUAGAGGAUUCAGACUCAAAUUAAGACAAUGUCAAAUCACUUGAGAAUACAACACACUACUGGAAAUAAUAAAAAUGCUACAUUCC